GACGAACGCUGGCGGCGUGCUUAACACAUGCAAGUCGAACGGAAAGGCCCUGCUUUCGUGGUGUGCUCGAGUGGCGAACGGGUGAGUAACACGUGAGUAACCUGCUCUUGAUUUUGGGAUAACUUCAGGAAACUGGGGCUAAUACCGGAUAGGAGCUCCUGUUGCAUGGUGGGGGUUGGAAAGUUUCGGCGGUUGGGGAUGGACUCGCGGCUUAUCAGCUUGUUGGUGGGGUAGUGGCUUACCAAGGCUUUGACGGGUAGCCGGCCUGAGAGGGUGACCGGCCACAUUGGGACUGAGAUACGGCCCAGACUCCUACGGGAGGCAGCAGUGGGGAAUAUUGCACAAUGGGCGGAAGCCUGAUGCAGCAACGCCGCGUGCGGGAUGACGGCCUUCGGGUUGUAAACCGCUUUCGCCUGUGACGAAGCGUGAGUGACGGUAAUGGGUAAAGAAGCACCGGCUAACUACGUG
Molecule: ribosomal RNA, 468 nt
Filed under: uncultured bacterium
Lineage: Bacteria
Description: partial 16S ribosomal RNA
Rfam family: Bacterial small subunit ribosomal RNA
Source: RNAcentral